This 253-nucleotide ribosomal RNA is filed under the name uncultured bacterium. Its description in RNAcentral is "partial 16S ribosomal RNA". It matches the Rfam family "Bacterial small subunit ribosomal RNA", at positions 524 to 776 of the family's 1533-position model. The record is from RNAcentral.
UACGUAGGGUGCGAGCGUUGUCCGGAAUUAUUGGGCGUAAAGAGCUCGUAGGCGGUUUGUCACGUCUGCUGUGAAAUCCCGAGGCUCAACCUCGGGUCUGCAGUGGGUACGGGCAGACUGGAGUGCGGUAGGGGAGAAUGGAAUUCCUGGUGUAGCGGUGGAAUGCGCAGAUAUCAGGAGGAACACCGAUGGCGAAGGCAGUUCUCUGGGCCGUAACUGACGCUGAGGAGCGAAAGCGUGGGGAGCGAACAGG